GAGCACUGUUUCGGCUAGGGGGCCAUCCCGGCUUACCAACCCGAUGCAAACUGCGAAUACCGGAGAAUGUUAUCACGGGAGACACACGGCGGGUGCUAACGUCCGUCGUGAAGAGGGAAACAACCCAGACCGCCAGCUAAGGUCCCAAAGUCAUGGUUAAGUGGGAAACGAUGUGGGAAGGCCCAGACAGCCAGGAUGUUGGCUUAGAAGCAGCCAUCAUUUAAAGAAAGCGUAAUAGCUCACUGGUCGAGUCGGCCUGCGCGGAAGAUGUAACGGGGCUAAACCAUGCACCGAAGCUGCGGCAGCGACGCUUAUGCGUUGUUGGGUAGGGGAGCGUUCUGUAAGCCUGUGAAGGUGGCCUGUGAGGGUUGCUGGAGGUAUCAGAAGUGCGAAUGCUGACAUAAGUAACGAUAAAGCGGGUGAAAAGCCCGCUCGCCGGAAGACCAAGGGUUCCUGUCCAACGUUAAUCGGGGCAGGGUGAGUCGACCCCUAAGGCGAGGCCGAAAGGCGUAGUCGAUGGGAAACGGGUUAAUAUUCCCGUACUUGGUGUUACUGCGAAGGGGGGACGGAGAAGGCUAUGUUGGCCGGGCGACGGUUGUCCCGGUUUAAGCGUGUAGGUGUGUGUUCCAGGUAAAUCCGGUU
This 642-nucleotide ribosomal RNA is filed under the name Salmonella enterica subsp. enterica serovar Weltevreden. RNAcentral describes it as "partial 23S ribosomal RNA". It matches the Rfam family "Bacterial large subunit ribosomal RNA", at positions 905 to 1547 of the family's 2925-position model. The record is from RNAcentral. Lineage: Bacteria; Pseudomonadati; Pseudomonadota; Gammaproteobacteria; Enterobacterales; Enterobacteriaceae.